GCCUGGGUGGCUUGGUCGGUUAAGCGUCCGACUUCGGCUCAGGUCAUGAUCUCACGGUCCGUGAGUUCGAGCCCCACUUCGGGCU
This 85-nucleotide transfer RNA is filed under the name Felis catus (domestic cat). It matches the Rfam family "tRNA". Rfam says of the family: Transfer RNA (tRNA) molecules are approximately 80 nucleotides in length. Their secondary structure includes four short double-helical elements and three loops (D, anti-codon, and T loops). The record is from Rfam by way of RNAcentral. Lineage: Eukaryota; Metazoa; Chordata; Mammalia; Carnivora; Felidae.